Molecule: ribosomal RNA, 253 nt
Filed under: uncultured bacterium
Lineage: Bacteria
Description: partial 16S ribosomal RNA
Rfam family: Bacterial small subunit ribosomal RNA
Source: RNAcentral
UACGUAGGUGGCAAGCGUUGUCCGGAUUUACUGGGCGUAAAGAGCGCGCAGGCGGUCGGAUAAGUCGAGUGUGAAAGCCCCCGGCUCAACUGGGGAGGGUCAUUCGAUACUGUUCGACUCGAAGGCAGGAGAGGGAAGUGGAAUUCCCGGUGUAGUGGUGAAAUGCGUAGAUAUCGGGAGGAACACCAGUGGCGAAGGCGACUUCCUGGCCUGUUCUUGACGCUGAGGCGCGAAAGCUAGGGGAGCAAACGGG